UCAAGUAAAAAAAAAAAAAAAGAAUGACUUGCUUUUCUCUUUUAAAGUACCCUUUUUAAAUAGCUGGACACUCAAAGAUUCCCCAGGGGUUUGUGUUACUGGUUUUAUUUAAGAGACCUCUGAUAGACUUGACACAUUGUACUCCUUCAGUUUCUGGGCUAAGAACAGUCACCUUGUUCCAUCUAAGACAUGAUUGCUUCUUGCAAGUUGGAGGGUUUCUAUUUUCUUCUGUGCAUAUUUCAGUUGGAUCUUCAGAGCAUCAUUAUCUGCUUUCAGGGUAUUUAUUUCCUAAAGGGAAAGGAGAAUGAGGCAUGUUAAUAAAGCAGCAAUGAAUAGCAAAUCAGUUACAACAUUGGAAGUACUACACUUGAUUGGCAUUUUCUAUUCACUGUGGCUGAGAAUUAAAAACUAUUUUCAAGACAGUUAUUUUGCUCUGAAUAGAAAAUAACAAGUUAAAUACCAAGUAAGCAUGUGCAAACAGCAAUUAGUUUUUGUUAUUGAAUUAAAGGUGGCUAGCAGGUGGAAUAAACCAUUCCCAGACAAGACAUGGAUAAUAAAACCUGCGGAUGCUGCAUAGUGGGAGAUCUAAACUUAGCAGAAAUGGAGUCUCUGGUUAGGUCUGAGGUAUGAAAACAGUGACUCAGUACUGUCAUACAAAAUAUUAUAGUUUAAGUUUUUUUUCUCCAAAUCACUGAAAACUAAUGGACUCCUUUGAUAAAGAAUUUUAUUCUACCCCCUAAACUGGGAUUUAAUUAUCCAAUUCUCUGUGGCAGUUGAUUUCCAGUCUUCUGAGUUUUAAAAAUUGAAUUAUAUUUGACCUAUGACAUUGUAUAAAUUUAAGGUGUACAACAUGUUAAUUUGAUAGGUUGUAAUACUGCCAUUAUAAAGACAAUCAGUACCUUUCAUUACAGUAUUAUCCUUUUUAAUAACUGGAAUAAUUUAAGUUCUGGACUCAGCAGGUUUGAGGAUUAUAGUACAGGAUUAUUGUCCGUAUUCAUUGUACUAUGCAUUAUAUCUUUCAGGCUUAUUUACCAGUUGUUUUAAGUUUGUACCCUUAAACACCAUCUGUACCCCCUAUUCUUCCCUGGUUCCCAGGUUCCCCUGGUAACCACCAUUUUAAUCUGGUUUUACAAGUGUGGCUUUUUAAAAUUCCAUGUAUAAGUGAUGUUAUACAAUACUUAUCACUUCUCUACUUAGCAUAAUGUGCUCAAGGCCCAUCCAUGUUGCUGCAAAUUCCCUUCUCAUGGCUGAAUGAUACUCCACGGUAUGGACAUUUUUACUGUGGUAUGGACAUUGAUGAGCCGUGCAGUUUCCCUCCCUAGUGCCAUCUGAAUGCUUCCAGAGACACGUGAAGUGUGCUGUUGGAAGUGCUGACUGUACUGCAGGCGCGGGGAAUUGCUGCAGGGCAUCAGGAGUCUACAGCACAUUCUUUAUGCUCUGCUCUGCGGGCCUUCUCACAAUGAUUUUCGGAUGGGCCAAAGUCUAGGAAGUGUGUGACAUUCCGUUCACAGCCCGGAAUCCUGAACCAGAUAUUCAGGGAGGAACUGGAGGUUUGGAGCGCACCUCCCUCAAUCCUGAUGAACUGGCAAGAUGGCCUCCCUCUCACUCACCUCUUAGCAAACAGUGACCAUGACUGUGAAGUAGGGAAGGAGCUUGCAAGAACUGGCUGUGCAAACCGCCCUGAGGGUCAAGCAGCCACCCACACAGAAGCACUGCUGUGGAAGAGGAGCGAGCUCCAGCUUCAAGAGAACUAACACGAGGGCAUGUUCAUCUCCAUGACUGUCUCCCUCUGUCACUUCUGAGACACGGGCAAUCUUUUCAGUGGUUACACUGAGUUUCCGCAGAACUAGUAGGGAACUGGAAGGUGGAGUGGGGUAGCAUCCCCGGAGCUAAAGGUGGUUGGUGACAGCGGGGACAAUGAAUCUGAGACUUACCAAAAGCAGCUUGAAUAUCCUGGGACAACAGGGCAAUGGAGCACAGACAUGUCUCCUUAAGAAGAGCCUCCAUGGAGCCCAGGAGGAUGGGGGGGGGUAGGG
Long non-coding RNA from Canis lupus familiaris (dog), 2036 nucleotides. RefSeq lists it as uncharacterized. The record is from RefSeq and is a predicted model, not a curated record. NCBI's taxonomy places the organism in Eukaryota, Metazoa, Chordata, Mammalia, Carnivora, Canidae. The transcript is spliced from 3 exons.